UUUAAAAAAAUUGGCAUUACAUUAGCUAUCUUCGAGUUAUCUGGUACAGAAGCUGAUUUAAUUGAUAUGUUACAGACUACAAUUAGUAGUUCUGUAAUU
Molecule: long non-coding RNA, 99 nt
Organism: Gopherus evgoodei (Goodes thornscrub tortoise)
Lineage: Eukaryota; Metazoa; Chordata; Testudines; Testudinidae
Exons: 3
Source: RefSeq, a predicted model, not a curated record